Molecule: non-coding RNA, 26 nt
Filed under: Mus musculus (house mouse)
Lineage: Eukaryota; Metazoa; Chordata; Mammalia; Rodentia; Muridae
Source: RNAcentral
UGGUGAAGAUUCCAGUUCUGCAAUGG